AGAACGCACUAGGGCCUUCUAAAAUAGUACUUUAGUGUAGAUUUAGACCAAUUUAGGAACUAGCUUGGGAAACAAGUCAAAAAAUGAGGGAUUAAUCUAAAAUAAACUAGGGAAUGAAUUUGAAACCUAAAAAUCUAAGGGUUGCCCUCAUUUUACCUAUAAAAGGCAUGUCAAUGCCUUAUGUCACAAGUUUUGGAGCCCAAAAAAUUUCCCCAAAGUAUGCUCUCUAAAUUUCAGAUCUAAGAUCUGAAAUCCAAACCCCAAAAACUUCAAAACACCAAAAAAGAGAAAAAAAAUAGAAACUCAAAGAAAAAAAUAAAAAAUGUUACAAUUCCAUUAAAAUUAGGGACUGAUUUCAGUUUCUAUUCGUUAAUUCACAUUCUAUAGCUACUAUUGCUGUUUGGUGAAGUGCAGAGAAUCACUUCAAGGGCAAUUGAAUCAAAUUAAGUGGGUAUUUGGCUAGGAUUUGCACCAGUGCACUGAUCAAAGGGUUUUCAGUUCUGUUUCGAAUUGGUUUGGAUUAUUUGUUGGUUGUCUAUGCGUUGGUGUUCAAUUCUGGUUGGUUUGUUGCUGUGUUGAAGUGGAUCUGCUAGAUUUUGUUUGAUUUAAACGUAUCUGGGCUACUCAUUCUAUUUCCUGGGCUAUUUUAAGUAUUAAGCUACUGAUGUUGUUCACCUGCUUCUGUUCUUCUUCUGUUGUAAUUCAAAAAUCACGUACACACCUUCGAGUUUGAAUCCAUGCAGUGUAUCCAGUUGAAAAAUGAAAUGAAACAGGAGCUAUAUUUCGUUGGAGGCUUCAUUAGUUGCCAUGUUUUUAUUAUCCUUGACUGUAACGACUUAGUUGUAUUGAACUGUUGAUUUGUGUCAAUUAUUGUUGAUAAUAGACUGUUGAAUCGUCCAGGGAACUUAUGGUUAGUAGCUGAUUGAAAUACUAAUUGUCAUCAGCUAUACUUGGUCUAAUUGUUCAAUUUAAACUUGCGAGUUAGCAUACUCUUUUGAACAUCAAUGGAUGUUAAUUGAAUUGGUAAUAACAAGCACGCAAUUGAUUCAUGCUCUUCGAAGUUCGCUCCAGUUGAAUUUAAUAACCAGUAGGCAUUUAGUUGUUGAUUAAUGUUGGAAUUAAUAAAUCAUAGCUGAUAUUGCUAAUUGUGUUGAGAAGCAUUACUGAAAUCAAGCAUGACUAGGUGUUUUUUAACGUAAAGUUGAACGUGGUUAAUCCGCCCAGUUGCUGUUAAUUACACGUUAAAUCGUCCAGGGAACUUAUGGUUAGUAGCUGAUUGAAAUACUAAUUGUCAUCAGCUAUACUUGGUCUAAUUGUUCAAUUUAAACUUGCGAGUUAGCAUACUCUUUUGAACAUCAAUGGAUGUUAAUUGAAUUGGUAAUAACAAGCACGCAAUUGAUUCAUGCUCUUCGAAGUUCGCUCCAGUUGAAUUUAAUAACCAGUAGGCAUUUAGUUGUUGAUUAAUGUUGGAAUUAAUAAAUCAUAGCUGAUAUUGCUAAUUGUGUUGAGAAGCAUUACUGAAAUCAAGCAUGACUAGGUGUUUUUUAACGUAAAGUUGAACGUGGUUAAUCCGCCCAGUUGCUGUUAAUUACAUUUUAGUUUGAAGCCCUAUAAUUUCAUUGGUCAUUGUCAAUA
This 1635-nucleotide long non-coding RNA is filed under the name Nicotiana benthamiana. Its description in RNAcentral is "long non-coding RNA (NBEN_LNC003290)". The record is from RNAcentral. Lineage: Eukaryota; Viridiplantae; Streptophyta; Magnoliopsida; Solanales; Solanaceae.